GCGGCAAAAGCUCAAAUUUGAAAUCUGGCACCUUCGGUGUCCGAGUUGUAAUUUGAAGAUUGUAACCUUGGGGUUGGCUCUUGUCUAUGUUUCUUGGAACAGGACGUCACAGAGGGUGAGAAUCCCGUGCGAUGAGAUGCCCAAUCCUAUGUAAGGUGCUUUCGAAGAGUCGAGUUGUUUGGGAAUGCAGCUCUAAGUGGGUGGUAAAUUCCAUCUAAAGCUAAAUAUUGGCGAGAGACCGAUAGCGAACAAGUACAGUGAUGGAAAGAUGAAAAGAACUUUGAAAAGAGAGUGAAAAAGUACGUGAAAUUGUUGAAAGGGAAGGGUUUGAGAUCAGACUCGAUAUUUUGUGAGCCUUGCCUUCGUGGCGGGGUGACCCGCAGCUUAUCGGGCCAGCAUCGGUUUGGGCGGUAGGAUAAUGGCGUAGGAAUGUGACUUUGCUUCGGUGAAGUGUUAUAGCCUGCGUUGAUGCUGCCUGCCUAGACCGAGGACUGCGAUUUUAUCAAGGAUGCUGGCAUAAUGAUCCCAAACCGCCCGUCUUGAA
Molecule: ribosomal RNA, 544 nt
Filed under: Meyerozyma caribbica
Lineage: Eukaryota; Fungi; Ascomycota; Pichiomycetes; Serinales; Debaryomycetaceae
Description: partial large subunit ribosomal RNA
Rfam family: Eukaryotic large subunit ribosomal RNA
Source: RNAcentral